CACUUACUGGGAACGACUGAAAAUGGCGUAGCUUACUCGGUCAGACGCUGGGAGGUGAUGGGGGGGGGGGACGCCUUUUUGUCCCCUUACCUCUUCUGCCCCAUACGGAGUGCAAGGUUUUCUGCUAUAUGAAUAUCUCCUCGAUGUAUUUUAGUGGAGAAAGUGGCCAGGCAGAAUUGCUCGUGUCACCAUCAAUACGAAGAAGUGGACCAGCCAUUGUUAAGCAUCCCAACAUCUCUGCAGCAUCCUCAUCACCAGGAGCACACCAAGGAUGGAUGCAUUGAAGAACACAUCUGAGCCACAGCGGAGGGACUUAAUGUGGACCACCGUGUUAUCAAACAAUCACAUUUACGCUCAACUGGGAUGAUGAAGUUUCUUUGAAGGACCUGAUGGGGGUUAGGAGGGGUGUUCCCUUCUCCACCCCCCCACCAUCCCUUUGUGACAUGUCUGUCCAGGUUUGGAAUGAGCCUUUGGACUGACAUGGAGCUAUUAUAUUUUUUACGCUCAUUGUCAAUUUUUAUUAUUUUUUGUUAAAUUACAGAAGUUUCACCAGUGGACAUCGAUCUGGUAUGUUGUCAUUAUUAGAUGUGAAUGAUGUAUAUGCACAGUCCACAAUAUUAGAACAAGAGAUAAAUGGUCAUGUCAUUUUUCCAUGAAGUGCAGAACUGAAAAGAAAAAAAAAUAAUGUCGAUGAAUACUGGUCUAAAUCAACCGUCCCGAUAGCACAUUGUAUCAGACACGUAAAACUGUAGCAAGCGUGAGUAUCAUCUUUUUUGCUACCUCAGCGUCUUAAGAGUGAGUGGCGGGUUCAUUUUGACACAUCCUUUCAUGUGUUGAGUUUGAUCACAAAUUAUAUGAAACAUUUUCUCGUAAGGGCAAAAAAAAUGUUUUGUGAAGGCUUUUAAAUGUCAUCACUUGAAGCGAAAUUCUUUGCUCAAUUUUUAUUUUUAAAUGCAAUUAAAUAGUUUUAAAAAUGUGAGCCAAGCACAUUCAUUAUGCUAAUUUUAAAAUACUCAUUUUAAUAAGUACAUAAGUCAUAAAUCAUCAAAAAUGAAAAGCACAUUUUUAGUUGGAUUUAUUUUAUAUAUUCUAAUUUUAUGACAGUAUAUCCAAUAAAACAUUAAUUUUAGUAUAAAUACGUACAACAUGUUUGUCCUUCAUUUUGCAUAAGACGACACCUUUGAUCGGGCAAUGUGCAAUAUUGCAUCCAAACAUGUUACCUUGUUGACUGAUGCUGUGUAUUAUAUAUUAUGAAGAAAAAAACAAAACAAGUGACACGUUGUUUGAAAAGCAACAAAAUCACCAACGUCUUCCAUUCGAAAUUUGUAUAGUCUCAUUUAGACGCUCAUACUUAACUUCAUAUAUAAUCAUCGUAUAAUGCAUGAUGCCUGCUUUAAUACAACACAGAUGAAUAAUCUCCCCAAAAUAAAAUAUACAAAAAAGCAAAUUCAAAUGCAUGAUUAAACUUUUUUUUAAUGCACUCAAAAACCAAAUAAUAGCACUAAACUAAAAGAUGAGAUUGAAGUGAUUUUGAAUGGAUCUUCCAGCCCUUUAGUGUUGUACGUGCAUUACGUGUAAUCCAGAAAAUUGUAUUAGGAUUAGCAAUAAAUGCAUGACUUGUGGUGGUGGUGUGGGACGCUAUAGAGCUUUGUUUUGAGAUUGGAUUCUGCUGGUCAUCAAUUUAUUUAUUUUUUUCUCUUGAUCAAUACACAAAAUUGACUUAAUUGUAUGAUACUUGUAGCAUUUUUACACGCUGAAAGUCCAAAUGUGUUUGCAUAGCACUACUUGCACUGUCAACCACCAUAUCCAGUUUAUGUAUAUUUCUCAACCCUUUCUUUUGGGGACUUAUGACAUGUUAAAAUUCAGUAGGGACU
Syngnathus acus (greater pipefish) is the source of this 1874-nucleotide long non-coding RNA. RefSeq lists it as uncharacterized. The transcript has 2 exons. The record is from RefSeq and is a predicted model, not a curated record. Lineage: Eukaryota; Metazoa; Chordata; Actinopteri; Syngnathiformes; Syngnathidae.